This 484-nucleotide ribosomal RNA is filed under the name uncultured bacterium. RNAcentral describes it as "partial 16S ribosomal RNA". It matches the Rfam family "Bacterial small subunit ribosomal RNA", at positions 29 to 507 of the family's 1533-position model. The record is from RNAcentral.
AUUGAACGCUGGCGGCAUGCUUUACACAUGCAAGUCGAACGGCAGCGCGGGCUUCGGCCUGGCGGCGAGUGGCGAACGGGUGAGUAAUACAUCGGAACGUGCCCAGUAGUUGGGGAUAGCUCGGCGAAAGCCGGAUUAAUACCGCAUACGACCCGAGGGUGAAAGCGGGGGAUCUUCGGACCUCGCGCUAUUGGAGCGGCCGAUGGCAGAUUUGCUAGUUGGUGGGGUAAAGGCCUACCAAGGCGACGAUCUGUAGCUGGUCUGAGAGGACGACCAGCCACACUGGGACUGAGACACGGCCCAGACUCCUACGGGAGGCAGCAGUGGGGAAUUUUGGACAAUGGGCGAAAGCCUGAUCCAGCAAUGCCGCGUGUGUGAUGAAGGCCUUCGGGUUGUAAAGCACUUUUGGCGGGAACGAAAAGGACUGUGCCAAUACCACGGUUCGAUGACGGUACCCGCAGAAUAAGCACCGGCUAACUACGUG